Molecule: unclassified non-coding RNA, 203 nt
Filed under: Hevea brasiliensis (rubber tree)
Lineage: Eukaryota; Viridiplantae; Streptophyta; Magnoliopsida; Malpighiales; Euphorbiaceae
Source: RNAcentral
AUCCAAGGCCUGAUACGGGAGAGGUUUACAAAACUCCGGAAUCUUCAAAAAGUGGUCUCCAAGAAGACAAAACAGAGAGUGUUCAGGGUGAAGAAAAGCAACGACGGAAAAGGAAGAGAAACAUCAUGAAUCCAAAACAAGUAGUCUUAAUCGAGAAAGCCCUAUCGGAAGAACCCGAGAUGCAGAGAAAUCCAGCUUCCUUG